RNAcentral lists this ribosomal RNA (392 nucleotides) under uncultured bacterium. RNAcentral describes it as "bacterial SSU rRNA". It matches the Rfam family "Bacterial small subunit ribosomal RNA", at positions 30 to 424 of the family's 1533-position model. The record is from RNAcentral.
AUUGAACGCUGGCGGCAUGCCUUACACAUGCAAGUCGAACGGCAGCGGACCUUCGGGUGCCGGCGAGUGGCGAACGGGUGAGUAAUGCAUCGGAACGUGCCAUUGAGUGGGGGAUAACGUAGCGAAAGUUACGCUAAUACCGCAUAUUCUGUGAGCAGGAAAGCAGGGGACCGCAAGGCCUUGCGCUCUUUGAGCGGCCGAUGUCAGAUUAGCUAGUUGGUGAGGUAAAGGCUUACCAAGGCGACGAUCUGUAGCGGGUCUGAGAGGAUGAUCCGCCACACUGGAACUGAGACACGGUCCAGACUCCUACGGGAGGCAGCAGUGGGGAAUUUUGGACAAUGGGCGCAAGCCUGAUCCAGCCAUGCCGCGUGAGUGAAGAAGGCCUUCGGGUU